RNAcentral lists this long non-coding RNA (451 nucleotides) under Ictidomys tridecemlineatus (thirteen-lined ground squirrel). Its description in RNAcentral is "lncRNA (ENSSTOG00000030537.1)". The record is from RNAcentral. Lineage: Eukaryota; Metazoa; Chordata; Mammalia; Rodentia; Sciuridae.
UUCUUGUUACAGCAGCUGUAAAGCUGACUAAAACAAAGGCCCCAGGUUCAAACCCCAGCACUACAAAAUAAAGAAGCAUGAAGAUUAACAUCUCAUUUUAAGAAAAUGAUUUCACAGAAAUUAUCCCACACAGAGCUGUUGGAAUUACUGGGGGAUGAUUUCAAAGGAAAUUUUCUUCUCUAAACAUUCUUAUCCCAAGGGAUAAUCUCUCCAAGGAAGUCAAAAGGAAAGGAAGAGGCAGACGGGGCCUGGGGCUCCCUAAGGGCUGUGAUCCCAGACUUCUACAGAACACUGCAACAUGCCACCUCUGUCUUAGCUACAUCAAGCAGAAUUUGGGCUCUAAGAAGACUGGAGUGCAUCCAUACAGAGCACAAAUCCCUUCUCCAAGAAGGAAACCACAGAGCUUAUCAAGAAAGAUCUGUGCCUCUGUGCCAGGCAGCAACAGCCCUGC